UUUUUAAAAGAAAAGCUCAUAUUAAUUACUUACCAAUUGAGUAAAUUACAAAAGCAACCAUUUGGCUUCAUAAAAUGCUUAUAUAUUACAAAGCAUGUCCUUGCUUUUAUGUUAUUUUUCUUAGUUUUGCAUAUAAUAAGAUAGAUACUUGUAUUGAUAUAAAUAAGCAACAUAGUGUCAAUAAGCUAAUAUCAAGGAGCGUAGCCACCUCCAUGGCCACUACCUACACCACUCCCCCCACCUGCUUCAUAUCCUCCUCCAUGCUUACCUCCUGCAUCAUAGCCACUGCCACCACCACCUCCAGAAC
Molecule: unclassified non-coding RNA, 307 nt
Filed under: Hevea brasiliensis (rubber tree)
Lineage: Eukaryota; Viridiplantae; Streptophyta; Magnoliopsida; Malpighiales; Euphorbiaceae
Source: RNAcentral